AGAGGUAAUUAGACGGGCCUGACUAUCUAGCAGUUAUGUUGGCAAGACUAAUGGGGUGGUACUACUGCCACUGAAGACUUCAUUUGCUUAGAGUGACUCAUUGAGUAUGGAUGACAAAUUAUACACUGGAAAACCUGCUUGUCCUUUUUGAUGGCAUUUAAUAUUCAAAGUCCAGUACUGUGUGUCCAUGCAACAGAAAGCAGCCAUGUGACUAACGAUACAAUCACCCAGGGUUUGAGAGAAGCGAAAAAGGCACCUGCAUAAUUUUCUUCUCAUCCCUGCUCCUGGCCUCUUCCCCUUCUGGUUACCUUGAUUCAUCUUUUGCCUAAAAAGGGAAAGCAAAGAGAACAAUGAUUUGGAAACAGCUGUACGUGGUUCAUGAGAUCCCCAAACCCAUCCACGCACAGGGUGGGAAGCAUCAGAUGUGAAACAUGGGUGACCUACCAUCAUCACCUCAAGACCCUAGAAAGGUAUCGCCUACAAUGCCCCUGGAAAAUCCUCAGCAUCAAAUGGGAAGAUUGCCAUACAAAUGCCAACAUCCUUGCUAAAAACAAUAUUACCAGCAUUGAGUCAGUAAUCCUCAAGCAUCAGCUUUGCUGGAUCGAAUAUUGUGUGUGGAUGUUUGACUCUCAAUUCCCAGAGCAAGUGCUCUAUUUCCAGCUUAGGUGUGGACUGAAGUCGCACAGUAACUACAGGAAAUGCUUCCUGGACACAUCAAAGGCAUACCUCAAUACAGUGGACCCCAACAUCAAAAGCUAGGAGGAGCUGGCUGCUAACCAAUUCCAGUGGCACCACAACCUCAGCCAAACAUCAGCCUACUUCAAGGUAAAGUAUCUUGCCAUCAAAACAUAGAAAAGAAAGCAGAGGAAGAAAAAGAAAAGAAAUCCCAGCCUGUGGCUUACUCUUCCUGCAAAAAGACCUGCACAACUUCUGUGGGCAGAUCUGUGGCUCAAGAGUCAGACUCUUAAGACACCUCAGGACCCAUCAAUGAGCCAUGGUAGAGAUCAUCCUUGAAUCAAGGGAUUGCUGAUGAGUAUCUGGUCUCCUUUUGAGUAGUCUUAUUCACAAGCAAGGGACCUAAUCUUGUGCUUUAUGGUUUGGGAUUCAUCAUGUCCAUGCCCAAAUUUGCAUAUUUCUAGUUGUAGUAAGACA
This is a long non-coding RNA of Alligator sinensis (Chinese alligator), 1152 nucleotides long. RefSeq lists it as uncharacterized. The transcript has 3 exons. The record is from RefSeq and is a predicted model, not a curated record. Lineage: Eukaryota; Metazoa; Chordata; Crocodylia; Alligatoridae.